AUGGACGAGACCUGGACAACAGACAGCGAGCUUAUGAAGGGAAGCCCAUCCACCGGCGGGAAUAGAGUCGCCGACGAGAAGAUCAGCAACGAGAGAAGGGAUGGAGUUAGAACACUUGGUUUUCCAGCAGAUGUUACGGAUUGUAGAGGAGAAUUUGGUGGAAACACAAGCUAAUCGAGCCCAGUUACGGGGAUCGUCUUCGAGUUUGAAGAAGAUGUUGAGAAGAAUGUCAUCGGGAAGGGAAGAGAAGAGGGAAUCGGCCAUGGGAAAAGAAGGGUUUGUGAAAAGAGAGGAUGAGAUUGGGAUUGGAAGAGAGAGUGUUGAAGUUGAAGUUGAAGUUGAA
Molecule: unclassified non-coding RNA, 343 nt
Filed under: Hevea brasiliensis (rubber tree)
Lineage: Eukaryota; Viridiplantae; Streptophyta; Magnoliopsida; Malpighiales; Euphorbiaceae
Source: RNAcentral